Molecule: unclassified non-coding RNA, 374 nt
Filed under: uncultured Mattirolomyces
Lineage: Eukaryota; Fungi; Ascomycota; Pezizomycetes; Pezizales; Pezizaceae
Description: sequence contains ITS1
Rfam family: 5.8S ribosomal RNA (bases 1-106)
Source: RNAcentral
UGAAAUGCGAUACGUAAUGUGAAUUGCAGAAUCUCGUGAAUCAUUGAAUCUUUGAACGCAUAUUGCGCCCUAUGGUAUUCCGUAGGGCAUGCCUGUCUGAGCGUCAGCUUCCUUCUCAAGUAUUCAUUUCCCCAUUUUGCGGGAAAAAUAAACUUGGAUUACCUUGGAUAAGCCAUUGGCCAAAAGUGAAUAAUGGCUGUCCAGAAAAUCAUAGGCAGUAUGGGUGUCUUCCAGACUGAACGUAAUAAUAUAUUUAAUAAAAAGCGUUUAUCUGAAGCCUCUGUACUUGUCUUUCAAUCCACGUAUAAAAAAAAAAAAAAAAUUUUUUUUUUUGGGUCGACCUCAGAUCAGGUAGGGAUACCCGCUGAACUUAA